Molecule: ribosomal RNA, 300 nt
Filed under: uncultured Shewanella sp.
Lineage: Bacteria; Pseudomonadati; Pseudomonadota; Gammaproteobacteria; Alteromonadales; Shewanellaceae
Description: bacterial SSU rRNA
Rfam family: Bacterial small subunit ribosomal RNA
Source: RNAcentral
GCCUAGGGAUCUGCCCAGUCGAGGGGAGUAACAGUUGGAAACGACUGCUAAUACCGCAUACGCCCUACGGGGGAAAGGAGGGGACCUUCGGGCCUUUCGCGAUUGGAUGAACCUAGGUGGGAUUAGCUAGUUGGUAAGGUAAUGGCUUACCAAGGCGACGAUCCCUAGCUGUUCUGAGAGGAUGAUCAGCCACACUGGGACUGAGACACGGCCCAGACUCCUACGGGAGGCAGCAGUGGGGAAUAUUGCACAAUGGGCGCAAGCCUGAUGCAGCCAUGCCGCGUGUGUGAAGAAGGCUCU